GGACGAACGCUGGCGGCGUGCCUAACACAUGCAAGUCGAGCGGGGUAGCCGGAAGGUGUAGCGAUACAGCGGAGGGGUACCUAGCGGCGAACGGGUGAGUAACGCGUGGGCAAUCUGCCCCCGGGGGCGGGAUAACAGACCGAAAGGCCUGCUAAUACCGCAUGAAGCCGUCCUAUCGCAUGAUAAGACGGUAAAAGGGGAAACCCGCCUGGGGAGGAGCCCGCGUCCCAUUAGCUAGUUGGUGGUGUAAAGGACCACCAAGGCGAUGAUGGGUAGCCGGCCUGAGAGGGUGAACGGCCACAUUGGGACUGAGACACGGCCCAGACUCCUACGGGGGGCAGCAGUGAGGGAUUUUCGGCAAUGGUCGAAAGACUGACCCAGCCAUGCCGCGUGCAGGAUGAAGGCCCUAUGGGUUGUAAACUGCUUUUAGCCGGGAAUAAACACCCGUUUUAUAACGGGCCCGAAGGUACCGGCUGAAUAAGCAUCGGCUAACUCCGUGCCAGCAGCCGCGGUAAUACGGAGGAUGCAAGCGUUAUCCGGAUUCACUGGGUUUAAAGGGUGCGCAGGCGGACAUUUAAGUCAGGGGUGAAAUCCUACAGCUUAACUGUAGAACUGCCCUUGAUACUGAAUGCCUAGAGUAAAGCUGAAGUNNNCGGAAUGUGUUGUGUAGCGGUGAAAUGCUUAGAUAUAACACAGAACACCAAUCGCGAAGGCAGCUCACUAAACUUUAACUGACGCUCAUGCACGAAAGCGUGGGNNAGCAAACAGGAUUAGAUACCCUGGUAGUCCACGCCCUAAACGAUGAUCACUCGCUGUUGGCGAUAUAUUGUCAGUGGCUAAGCAAAAGUGAUAAGUGAUCCACCUGGGGAGUACGACCGCAAGGUUGAAACUCAAAGGAAUUGACGGGGGCCCGCACAAGCGGAGGAGCAUGUGGUUUAAUUCGAUGAUACGCGAGGAACCUUACCAGGGCUCGAACGCAGGAGGAAUACUCCCGAAAGGAAGUAGCCAGAAAUGGCCGCCUGCGAGGUGCUGCAUGGUUGUCGUCAGCUCGUGCCGUGAGGUGUCAGGUUAAGUCCUAUAACGAGCGCAACCCCUAUUCAUAGUUGCCAGCAUAUUACGGUGGGGACUCUAUGAAAACUGCCUGCGCAAGCAGUGAGGAAGGUGGGGAUGACGUCAAAUCAGCACGGCCCUUAUGUCCUGGGCUACACACGUGCUACAAUGGCCGGUACAGAAGGCCGCAACCACGCAAGUGGAAGCUAAUCCCUAAAACCGGUCUCAGUUCGGAUUGGAGUCUGCAACCCGACUCCAUGAAGCCGGAUUCGCUAGUAAUCGCACAUCAGCCAUGGCGUGGUGAAUACGUUCCCGGGCCU
This 1370-nucleotide ribosomal RNA is filed under the name uncultured bacterium. RNAcentral's name for it is "bacterial SSU rRNA". It matches the Rfam family "Bacterial small subunit ribosomal RNA", at positions 27 to 1381 of the family's 1533-position model. The record is from RNAcentral.